Molecule: ribosomal RNA, 501 nt
Filed under: uncultured bacterium
Lineage: Bacteria
Description: partial 16S ribosomal RNA
Rfam family: Bacterial small subunit ribosomal RNA
Source: RNAcentral
AUUGAACGCUGGCGGCAGGCUUAACACAUGCAAGUCGAGCGGGGGAAGGUAGCUUGCUACCGGACCUAGCGGCGGACGGGUGAGUAAUGCUUAGGAAACUGCCUAUUAGUGGGGGACAACAUCUCGAAAGGGAUGCUAAUACCGCAUACGUCCUACGGGAGAAAGCAGGGGAUCUUCGGACCUUGCGCUAAUAGAUGAGCCUAAGUCGGAUUAGCUAGUUGGUGGGGUAAAGGCCUACCAAGGCGACGAUCUGUAGCGGGUCUGAGAGGAUGAUCCGCCACACUGGGACUGAGACACGGCCCAGACUCCUACGGGAGGCAGCAGUGGGGAAUAUUGGACAAUGGGGGGAACCCUGAUCCAGCCAUGCCGCGUGUGUGAAGAAGGCCUUAUGGUUGUAAAGCACUUUAAGCGAGGAGGAGGCUACUUUAGUUAAUACCCAAGAUGAGUGGGCGUUACUCGCAGAAUAAGCACCGGCUAACUCUGUGCCAGCCGCCGCGGUAA